UUAUUCUCUUUUGUCCUUUUGAAGAAGCAAAAUUGAAGAACCCUUGCGUUUAGGAACAAUGGCGCUUUACUCUGCGUUUCGAGAACGACUGGAGCAAAUGGAAAGUACCAGAAAUCAACGUCUCUCUCUUCUCCAGGCAGAGAAAGAAUUGCAAACGAGCAAGUCUCGGAUGUUAGCAUCGAAUUUGGUAAAUAUUCGGUCCAUUGAACAAAGGUGUUUGGUUCUUGUCCACAAAAUUGCAUUUCAGAACUUCAAAAUCUUGGUUCUUAAAUCGGAAAUCGAGAGCCUUGAUGCUAAAUACGAUGCUGAUUCACAAGAAUUCAGGGUUUUGAAGAGUGAAGUAGAGGAGAUGGAGGAGAUGGAGAAGGAGAAGGAGAGUUUUUACCAGGUAAAAGGUCUUGAUAUGAAGGCUUUUAGCGAAAAUGUGGAUAAGUUUGUUAAGGAAUGUCGUAUUCAAGUGAAUGAGUUACGGAAUCAUGUGAAUGAGCUUAACUCAAUAUUCAUAAAACUUCAAGGGAACAAUGGGUUCUUGAGCAAUUCUGAGAUAGCUGAAGCAGAGAUGAGAAAAUCGCAACUUUUUGCCGUAAAGGAGAGUUUGGACACAAGUUUGGCUUCGAACUACCAGUUGAGAUCACAAUUGCAGAAGGAGCUUGAUAAUGUUUUGAUCAUAAGAAAUCAAGAGAGCAUGAAAGUGUCCCAGUUUCACUGAAAACAAUGGUUUAAUCGAGUAAACAAUCAGAGGGUGUCACGGCCAUGAAUUAAUUUUCUGAAACAUAAUUGAAGACGAGGGAAAAGGAAACAGAACAACUGGAACUGAACUCACACGAUACCAUUUUUUCUUUGGAACUAGAAAACAAUUUAAAUAACAGAGGCUUCUGUUCUACACUUUACGAAUGAGAAUACAAGUUUAGUUUCUUAUCAAAACAAGUUUCGUUUCAUGAAAUGUGCUUUUAA
Molecule: RNA transcript, 954 nt
Organism: Populus euphratica (Euphrates poplar)
Lineage: Eukaryota; Viridiplantae; Streptophyta; Magnoliopsida; Malpighiales; Salicaceae
Gene name: cytomegalovirus UL139 protein
Exons: 5
Source: RefSeq, a predicted model, not a curated record